This 402-nucleotide ribosomal RNA is filed under the name uncultured bacterium. RNAcentral's name for it is "bacterial SSU rRNA". It matches the Rfam family "Bacterial small subunit ribosomal RNA", at positions 356 to 774 of the family's 1533-position model. The record is from RNAcentral.
GAGGAAUAUUGCACAAUGGGCGCAAGCCUGAUGCAGCAACGCCGCGUGCGGGACGAAGGCCUUCGGGUCGUAAACCGCUUUUCUGGGGGAAGAGCAAGGACGGUACCUCAGGAAUAAGUCUCGGCUAACUACGUGCCAGCAGCCGCGGUAAAACGUAGGAGGCGAGCGUUAUCCGGAUUUACUGGGCGUAAAGCGUGCGCAGGCGGUUUUGUAAGACAGAGGUGAAAUCCCCGGGCUCAACCUGGGAACUGCCUUUGUGACUGCAAGGCUGGAGUACGGCAGAGGGGGGUGGAAUUCCACGUGUAGCAGUGAAAUGCGUAGAGAUGUGGAGGAACACCGAUGGCGAAGGCAGCCCCCUGGGCCUGUACUGACGCUCAUGCACGAAAGCGUGGGGAGCAAACA